CUGAGGCAGAGAGCCUGGGGCAAUCGCUAGAAGAGGUGAAAACCUCAUUCAGCUCUGCCAGGGGUUAGCUCAGACACCAGGGACGCCAAUUCAAACAUCAGCCUUGUUCAUUCUGUCACUGCUGGUGUGAGGAAGCAGAGGGAAGGUCACUGAUCCACACAUUCUCCUGGGAGCCAGGCCUCGUUUUGGGGACACACGGGCGGAGCUUAUUUUUGUGGGUGGGGCUUAUAUUUAUGGGUGGAGCUUAGAC
Molecule: long non-coding RNA, 250 nt
Organism: Dermochelys coriacea (leatherback sea turtle)
Lineage: Eukaryota; Metazoa; Chordata; Testudines; Dermochelyidae
Exons: 2
Source: RefSeq, a predicted model, not a curated record